CAAGAGAUGAGUCAUCCCUGACUUUAAGUCAGUAAGGGUUGUUGUAGACUACGACGUAGAUAGGUCAGGUGUGUAAGUGUAGUGAUACAUUGAGCUAACAGAUACUAAUUGCCCGAGAGGCUUAACUAUACAACGCUCAAG
This 141-nucleotide ribosomal RNA is filed under the name Haemophilus influenzae. RNAcentral describes it as "partial 23S ribosomal RNA". It matches the Rfam family "Bacterial large subunit ribosomal RNA", at positions 2798 to 2925 of the family's 2925-position model. Lineage: Bacteria; Pseudomonadati; Pseudomonadota; Gammaproteobacteria; Pasteurellales; Pasteurellaceae. The record is from RNAcentral.